Oncorhynchus keta (chum salmon) is the source of this 1435-nucleotide long non-coding RNA. RefSeq lists it as uncharacterized. NCBI's taxonomy places the organism in Eukaryota, Metazoa, Chordata, Actinopteri, Salmoniformes, Salmonidae. The record is from RefSeq and is a predicted model, not a curated record. The transcript is spliced from 3 exons.
UAGCCUACCUGGUUAAAUAAAGGUGUUCUCAACUAGCCUACCUGGUUAAAUAAAGGUGUUCUCAACUAGCCUACCUGGUUAAAUAAAGGUGUUCUCUACUAGCCUACCUGGUUAAAUAAAGGUGUUCUCAACUAGCCUACCUGGUUAAAUAAAGGUGUUCUCAACUAGCCUACCUGGUUAAAUAAAGGUGUUCUCUACUAGCCUACCUGGUUAAAUAAAGGUGUUCUCAACUAGCCUACCUGGUUAAAUAAAGGUGUUCUCUACUAGCCUACCUGGUUAAAUAAAGGUGUUCUCAACUAGCCUACCUGGUUAAAUAAAGGUGUUCUCAACUAGCCUACCUGGUUAAAUAAAGGUGUUCUCAACUAGCCUACCUGGUUAAAUAAAGGUGUUCUCAACUAGCCUACCUGGUUAAAUAAAGGUGUUCUCUACUAGCCUACCUGGUUAAAUAAAGGUGUUCUCAACUAGCCUACCUGGUUAAAUAAAGGUGUUCUCAACUAGCCUACCUGGUUAAAUAAAGGUGUUCUCAACUAGCCUACCUGGUUAAAUAAAGGUGUUCUCAACUAGCCUACCUGGUUAAAUAAAGGUGUUCUCAACUAGCCUACCUGGUUAAAUAAAGGUGUUCUCAACUAGCCUACCUGGUUAAAUAAAGGUGUUCUCAACUAGCCUACCUGGUUAAAUAAAGGUGUUCUGAACUAGCCUACCUGGUUAAAUAAAGGUGUUCUCAACUAGCCUACCUGGUUAAAUAAAGGUGUUCUCAACUAGCCUACCUGGUUAAAUAAAGGUGUUCUCAACUAGCCUACCUGGUUAAAUAAAGGUGUUCUCAACUAGCCGACCUGGUUAAAUAAAGGUGUUCUCAACUAGCCUACCUGGUUAAAUAAAGGUGUUCUCAACCAGCCUACCUGGUUAAAUAAAGGUGUUCUCAACUAGCCUACCUGGUUAAAUAAAGGUGUUCUCAUCUAGCCUACCUGGUUAAAUAAAGGUGUUCUCAACUAGCCUACCUGGUUAAAUAAAGGUGUUCUCAACUAGCCUACCUGGUUAAAUAAAGGUGUUCUCAACUAGCCUACCUGGUUAAAUAAAGGUGUUCUCAACUAGCCUACCUGGUUAAAUAAAGGUGUUCUCAACUAGCCUACCUGGUUAAAUAAAGGUGUUCUCUACUAGCCUACCUGGUUAAAUAAAGGUGUUCUCAACUAGCCUACCUGGUUAAAUAAAGGUGUUCUCAACUAGCCUACCUGGUUAAAUAAAGGUGUUCUCAACUAGCCUACCUGGUUAAAUAAAGGUGUUCUCUACUAGCCUACCUGGUUAAAUAAAGGUGUUCUCAACUAGCCUACCUGGUUAAAUAAAGGUGUUCUCAACUAGCCUACCUGGUUAAAUAAAGGUGUUCUCAACUAGCCUACCUGGUUAAAUAAAGGUGUUCUCAACUAGCCUACCUGGUUUA